UCCGUUGGUGAACCAGCGGAGGGAUCAUUACUGAGUUUACGCUCUAUAACCCUUUGUGAACAUACCUAUAACUGUUGCUUCGGCGGGUAGGGUCUCCGCGACCCUCCCGGCCUCCCGCCUCCGGGCGGGUCGGCGCCCGCCGGAGGAUAACCAAACUCUGAUUUAACGACGUUUCUUCUGAGUGGUACAAGCAAAUAAUCAAAACUUUUAACAACGGAUCUCUUGGUUCUGGCAUCGAUGAAGAACGCAGCGAAAUGCGAUAAGUAAUGUGAAUUGCAGAAUUCAGUGAAUCAUCGAAUCUUUGAACGCACAUUGCGCCCGCCAGCAUUCUGGCGGGCAUGCCUGUUCGAGCGUCAUUUCAACCCUCAAGCUCUGCUUGGUGUUGGGGCCCUACAGCUGAUGUAGGCCCUCAAAGGUAGUGGCGGACCCUCCCGGAGCCUCCUUUGCGUAGUAACUUUACGUCUCGCACUGGGAUCCGGAGGGACUCUUGCCGUAAAACCCCCCAAUUUUCCAAAGGUUGACCUCGGAUCAGGUAGGAAUACCCGCUGAACUUAAGCAUAUC
RNAcentral lists this ribosomal RNA (562 nucleotides) under Colletotrichum sp. BDS-2011. RNAcentral describes it as "eukaryotic LSU rRNA". The stretch from base 203 to 356 matches the Rfam family "5.8S ribosomal RNA". The record is from RNAcentral. Lineage: Eukaryota; Fungi; Ascomycota; Sordariomycetes; Glomerellales; Glomerellaceae.